AACGAACGCUGGCGGCAGGCUUAACACAUGCAAGUCGAACGAUGUAGCAAUACAUAGUGGCGCACGGGUGAGUAACGCGUGGGAAUAUACCUUGUAGUGGGGAAUAACUCCGGGAAACUGGAGAUAAUACCGCAUGCGCCCGAGAGGGGAAAGAUUUAUCGGUAUAAGAUUAGCACGCGUGAGAUUAGGUAGUUGGUGGGGUAAUGGCCUACCAAGCCUACGAUCUCUAGCUGGUCUGAGAGGAUGAUCAGCCACACUGGAACUGAGACACGGUCCAGACUCCUACGGGAGGCAGCAGUGGGGAAUAUUGGACAAUGGGCGAAAGCCUGAUCCAGCCAUGCCGCGUGAAUGAUGAAGGCCUUAGGGUUGUAAAGUUCUUUCGCCGAUGAAGAUAAUGACGGUAGUCGGAGAAGAAGCCCCGGCUAACUUCGUGCCAGCCGCCGCCGUAA
This 449-nucleotide ribosomal RNA is filed under the name uncultured bacterium. RNAcentral's name for it is "partial 16S ribosomal RNA". It matches the Rfam family "Bacterial small subunit ribosomal RNA", at positions 29 to 523 of the family's 1533-position model. The record is from RNAcentral.